UCAACCAGAGUCCUUGACCUUGCAAAUCGAAGAAACAAAACCAGUUUUACAUUUCCGUUGGGACACUACGUCACAGAUCAAGUUCUAUGUUCGCAACGAAAAGGAUUUUCGAAUUUUUGUCCAGCACAAGGCUGUGCAGAAGGACAAUUACAAUACGAUGUGUUUGUGAUACAAUCAGCAAGUAAAGUCUGUAAUACCAGUAACAACAUCUGCCGAUGUCCUCAAGACCCUGACGGUGCUUUCAGUUUAAAUAAAACUUUCCUGCAGAGUGAUGCCGGCCUGUGGGUGUUCAGGCCUUGGCAACAUGACAACAUCUCUAAAAUAGUCAAUGUUCAGCAUCAGUGAUUCCACUACGCAGACACAAUCGUCAGUCAUCACAACUGCCUCUACAGCCUUCGUUUGAGUAGUGAAACUUUUUCAACAGCAACGCAAAUCUUAACGGAUGCAUCUACACAGAACACUUCCGAAACGUUUACUGUGGAAGCAAGUGAGCCGAGCACGUCAGUAGAAGAGGUGAACUCUGUUACCGGAACAACGAUAUCCCAGAUUUUCAUUGGAAGUUUGUCUACCACCUUCUCACGAGCAGCCUUCAGCCACAGGUCAGCAACAGACCCAUUGAAGCUGACGACGACAGAUGCAACUGUCAUCGCCAUCAUCGUCGUGGUGAUUUUCAUCGCUCUGUUAGUCAUCGUCUUAACCUUGGUAGUCUGGAGACGUCCAGACAUUAUCUUGAAACUGCGCAGAGCUCCAGCCACCGAGAAGCCCCUCUGACUACCUGUUACUGAGUCGUCAAACUUCCACAAGCACAUCACGUGGGGAACCUUCCAGCGACUACCAGACACACGUCUUCGACACCAGCGCGAGCAUCAUCAGCAACUCAACCAGCGACGCUUUAUGCACGCACCUGCGUUCUGUCCGAGGCGAGCCGAGAACUGUCUGGACACCGAAACAUAUUUUCUGUUUUUGGACAACAGAUGCCAUCAGAGAAUGUUCCUGAAGUUCAAGGAGGUGUUUGCAAGCUGACGCCUUCUUCAAACGAUGGUUGUACUUUUGUCAACCUCUCGGCCACAACCGACACAGCUGAUGACUACUUGACCCCGAUCAUUGACUUCAAAGCGUAUAUGAUUCAAACACGGAAAACUGAAGGUGAGUCUACCUCCGACAGUCCUCAAUCCUCAGCCAGCGAUGAAGAUGGAUCGCCGACCAGAUACAGGGGUCAUCAGAAUCAAGGAGUUACAUGAGUACAAGCAUAAACCACACAGAUGGGGCAACAGCAAAUCUUAGAGCGCUGCCUGGCGGAGUAUGCGGAGAAUCACGAGACAGUCAAAAUUCUUACGACAGCACCAAAAUGACCUCACUAUGACCCCGCCACCUCUACAACAGCACCGAUGAACCAUGGUGGGGAUGGGAAGGCAAGAUUUUAGAAGGAAAUCGUAGAGACGGAAACUGAAAGCUUUGCUUGUCUAUUAGACAUAGCACCGACCAGUGUCCAGAUGAGGUGGUCAGCUGAUACUUUGACUUUGCUUCUGUUGUAAGAGGCAGUAGGCCACGUAGCUUCCAGGCCUCCUUCGUUCUUCGCAUACAUACCUUAGGUAGUUUACAAUGUGCAAUAAACUACUGUAAAAUUAACCUGAAACCAUAUAUUUCAAACUUCCCUACAGACAGAGGGAUGCAUAACUGAUCAGCAAUACUCCACCAGACUAGUUACCCAAUAUUAUUAGUAAUGAUUAUGUAUGUGGGGUUAUUUGUUUAGUUUGUGUGGUUCAUUUGUGUUCUGUGUUUUUCUGCUUUUGUUUUUUAUAUGAUUUGUUUACUGUUUACAGUUUGUUUUAAUUUUUUUAUUUUUUUAUUUUUUUUAGAGUUGUUGGUUUGUGUCCUCUGAAAGAUUAAUUAUUUGUUCUGACUGCACUACUACUAUUUGUGUCUAUAGGUCUAGCUGAGUUGAAAUUGCUUUCAUUCCUUUUGAACUAUAUAUAUUUACAUAGGAUCAAAUGAUUUUAAGUUACUGUGCUGCAAAACGAUGAAAUUCUCUCCCUUACAUAUCUACAUAUGUAAUGUAUGUAAUGAGCAUAGUGUUCUGAAAAUAAAAAUAAAAGAAG
RNAcentral lists this long non-coding RNA (2099 nucleotides) under Pomacea canaliculata. Its description in RNAcentral is "uncharacterized LOC112568319, transcript variant X2". The record is from RNAcentral. Lineage: Eukaryota; Metazoa; Mollusca; Gastropoda; Architaenioglossa; Ampullariidae.